This 132-nucleotide small nucleolar RNA is filed under the name Dasypus novemcinctus (nine-banded armadillo). Its description in RNAcentral is "Small nucleolar RNA SNORA31 (ENSDNOG00000041051.1)". It matches the Rfam family "Small nucleolar RNA SNORA31". Rfam says of the family: ACA31 (SNORA31) belongs to the H/ACA class of snoRNAs which are thought to guide the sites of modification of uridines to pseudouridines. ACA31 is predicted to guide the pseudouridylation of U3713 in 28S rRNA and U218 in 18S rRNA. The record is from RNAcentral. Lineage: Eukaryota; Metazoa; Chordata; Mammalia; Cingulata; Dasypodidae.
AUGCAUCUUUGAUAGUUCUGGAGUAGUUCAUGUCCGCUGCUAAGUUUUCCACUGUAGAUGCAAGAAAAAGAAAUCCUAGUGCUUCUUAUCUGUCUGGUUAUGGCAGCCAAGAUUGAAUGGGGGAAUACAGGA